GACGAACGCUGGCGGCGUGCUUAACACAUGCAAGUCGAACGGAAAGGCCCUGCUUGCAGGGUACUCGAGUGGCGAACGGUUGUGUAACACGUGGGUGAUCUGCCCUGCACUUCGGGAUAAGCCUGGGAAACUGGGUCUAAUACCGGAUAUUACUUUUCAUGUAUUGUGGGGGGUGGCUAGAUUUCUCGGUGUGGGAUGAGCCCGCGGCCUAUCAGCUUGUUGGUGGGGUAAUGGCCUACCAAGGCGUCGACGGGUAGCCGGCCUGCGAGGGUGGACGGCCACAUUAGGACUGAGAUACGGCACAGACUCCUACGGGAGGCAGCAGAGGGGAAUAGUGCACAAUGGGCGGAAGCCUUAUGCAGCGACGCCGCGUGGGGGAUGACGGCCUGCGGGUUGUAAACCUCUUUCGACAGGGACGAAGCUUCGGUGACGGUACCUGUAUAAGAAGCACCGGCUAACUACGUG
Molecule: ribosomal RNA, 465 nt
Filed under: uncultured bacterium
Lineage: Bacteria
Description: partial 16S ribosomal RNA
Rfam family: Bacterial small subunit ribosomal RNA
Source: RNAcentral